RNAcentral lists this ribosomal RNA (468 nucleotides) under uncultured bacterium. Its description in RNAcentral is "partial 16S ribosomal RNA". It matches the Rfam family "Bacterial small subunit ribosomal RNA", at positions 28 to 507 of the family's 1533-position model. The record is from RNAcentral.
GACAAACGCUGGCGGCGUGCUUAACACAUGCAAGUCGAACGGAAAGACCCUGCUUUUGUGGGGUGCUCGAGUGGCGAACGGGUGAGUAACACGUGAGUAACCUGCCCUUGACUUUGGGAUAACUUCAGGAAACUGGGGCUAAUACCGGAUAGGAGCUCCUGCUGCAUGGUGGGGGUUGGAAAGUUUCGGCGGUUGGGGAUGGACUCGCGGCUUAUCAGCUUGUUGGUGGGGUAGUGGCUUACCAAGGCUUUGACGGGUAGCCGGCCUGAGAGGGUGACCGGCCACAUUGGGACUGAGAUACGGCCCAGACUCCUACGGGAGGCAGCAGUGGGGAAUAUUGCACAAUGGGCGGAAGCCUGAUGCAGCAACGCCGCGUGCGGGAUGACGGCCUUCGGGUUGUAAACCGCUUUCGCCUGUGACGAAGCGUGAGUGACGGUAAUGGGUAAAGAAGCACCGGCUAACUACGUG